GGCAACUAGCAAGUGUAUUGUAUUUUGUUUGAAAUGUCAUGCUUAUUUGUGAUGAGGACUACAACACAAGUUAGAUAUUUUUGAGAGAGUUACUUUUUGAAAUACGCAGGAGUGAAUUAUUUCGUGAAUGUGAUUUGUUUUUCCUUCUCACUAACCAAGUUCAUAGCGUCAUGAACGUACAGACAAGCUUGAUGUAGAGAGUGUUACUUGAGGUUUUCUAUCAAAAUGUUUUGGGUUUCAACACACGUCUGCUCUUAAGUCGAAUUGCUUGUAAAGUAGGAAACUGUGUUUUUCCAAAAGAGUUUAUUUAGGAAAUUUUGAUACUCUUCAUUAUUGGGAUUUCUCCGUUGAAAUUAUUUAUUGAUAUUACUUUUAACAGAAUUUCCUUGAGAAUCUUUUACAGAAUGAUGUGUAUUUACCCAAGGCUACACAUCGAAAAGAAUUCGAUACAAUAAGUGGAAAAUUAGAAGAGUCUCCUCAUAAAGAUGGUCUUCUGAAGCCUACUUGUGGAAUGAAAGUUUCUAUUCCAAAUAAAGCCUUAGAAAUGAAGCAUAUACAAACAUUCAAAGCAGGUAAAUUUUGUAAUUUUAAUUUUACUCUGGAAAGAAGAAUAUUAAAAUAUUUGAAAUGCUGAGAGCCUUAUAUUCCCAAUGUUGUUUUCUUUUCAAAAUUUGAUGGGAAAAUUUGAUACAAAUAAUGCCAAUGUUAGUAUUUAUGUUUGAAAAAAUGCCAUU
Chlorocebus sabaeus (green monkey) is the source of this 734-nucleotide non-coding RNA. The record is from RefSeq and is a predicted model, not a curated record. Lineage: Eukaryota; Metazoa; Chordata; Mammalia; Primates; Cercopithecidae.